CGUUCAUUAGAAGUUACAUUGCGGUGAUUUCCUCCCUCAGCUUCAACAGGUUCCACUCGACGCCUUCCUUGGUUAGGAGAUGCUAGCUGAUUUGUAGCCUGACCAGCUGUAGUGGAAUCAACAUUCUCUCUGUGAUCAGGUAACUGAUGAGCACUCCGCUCCUGUUCCCCAGACUGCAGCUGCUCAAGACUUUCGUUUUGUACCUCCUGUGAAGGAUUUGUACGAGUCUCUGGAAUCAACAUUCUCUCUGUGAUCAGUAAGUGAUGAGUACUCUGCUCUUGUUCCCUAGACAGCAGCUGCUCAAGAUUUUCGUUUUGUACCUCCUGUGAAGGAUUUGUGCGAAUCUGGUUAUUUCUCAAACCACCGUUGCCACUGUUAGAUGAAGAUUCAGAAUUGC
Molecule: long non-coding RNA, 397 nt
Filed under: Nicotiana benthamiana
Lineage: Eukaryota; Viridiplantae; Streptophyta; Magnoliopsida; Solanales; Solanaceae
Description: long non-coding RNA (NBEN_LNC011152)
Source: RNAcentral